Cavia porcellus (domestic guinea pig) is the source of this 95-nucleotide unclassified non-coding RNA. It matches the Rfam family "Y RNA". From Rfam's summary of the family: Y RNAs are components of the Ro ribonucleoprotein particle (Ro RNP), in association with Ro60 and La proteins. The Y RNAs and Ro60 and La proteins are well conserved, but the function of the Ro RNP is not known. NCBI's taxonomy places the organism in Eukaryota, Metazoa, Chordata, Mammalia, Rodentia, Caviidae. The record is from Ensembl.
GGCUGGUCCGAUGGCAGUGGGUUAUCAGAACUUACUAACAUUAGUGUCACUAAAGUUGGUGACACCCCCCCCCUGCUAAAUUUGACUGGCUUUAA